RNAcentral lists this ribosomal RNA (253 nucleotides) under uncultured bacterium. RNAcentral describes it as "partial 16S ribosomal RNA". It matches the Rfam family "Bacterial small subunit ribosomal RNA", at positions 524 to 776 of the family's 1533-position model. The record is from RNAcentral.
UACAGAGGUCUCAAGCGUUGUUCGGAUUCAUUGGGCGUAAAGGGUGCGUAGGCGGCGAGGCAAGUCUGGUGUGAAAUCCCGGGGCUCAACCCCGGAACUGCACUGGAUACUGCUUUGCUAGAGUACUGGAGAGGGAACUGGAAUUUACGGUGUAGCAGUGAAAUGCGUAGAUAUCGUAAGGAAGACCAGCGGCGAAGGCGAGUUCCUGGACAGUUACUGACGCUGAGGCACGAAGGCCAGGGGAGCGAAUGGG